UACGUAGGGGGCAAGCGUUGUCCGGAUUUAUUGGGCGUAAAGAGCGUGUAGGCGGCUUGGCAAGUCUGCUGUGAAAACUCGAGGCUCAACCUCGAGAUGUCGGCGGAAACUGCCUGGCUAGAGUCCGGAAGAGGAGAGUGGAAUUCCUGGUGUAGCGGUGAAAUGCGCAGAUAUCAGGAAGAACACCUAUGGCGAAGGCAGCUCUCUGGGACGGUACUGACGCUGAGACGCGAAAGCGUGGGGAGCGAACAGG
Molecule: ribosomal RNA, 253 nt
Filed under: uncultured bacterium
Lineage: Bacteria
Description: partial 16S ribosomal RNA
Rfam family: Bacterial small subunit ribosomal RNA
Source: RNAcentral